CGUCUAGGCGGAAUAGCAAGUCAGGUGUGAAAGCCCACGGCUCAACCGUGGAAUUGCACUUGAAACUGCUAAUCUUGAGUACGGAAGAGGAGAGCGGAAUUCCUGGUGUAGCGGUGAAAUGCGUAGAUAUCAGGAAGAACACCGGUGGCGAAGGCGGCUCUCUGGUCCGAUACUGACGCUGAAGCGCGAAAGUGUGGGGAGCGAACAGGAUUAGAUACCCUGGUAGUCC
This 229-nucleotide ribosomal RNA is filed under the name uncultured bacterium. RNAcentral describes it as "partial 16S ribosomal RNA". It matches the Rfam family "Bacterial small subunit ribosomal RNA", at positions 568 to 796 of the family's 1533-position model. The record is from RNAcentral.